Long non-coding RNA from Synchiropus splendidus (mandarinfish), 522 nucleotides. RefSeq lists it as uncharacterized. Lineage: Eukaryota; Metazoa; Chordata; Actinopteri; Syngnathiformes; Callionymidae. The transcript has 3 exons. The record is from RefSeq and is a predicted model, not a curated record.
GGAACAUAAAUAGGAAGAAUCUUGUCCGGAGGGAAAGUUCGCCACAACGGUGGCGUUCCUGAUGAGACGUCCUGAAGGGUCUGUUUAUAUGAGGGGAGGACGGUGACCGAGGAGCGGAGUGGUCAGCGGCAUCUACUGUAGUGCCGUGAAGUGAGCGUUCUUCUCCGUCCUCUCUCUUCUGGAGCCCUUCAUCUCCAAGAGAGACCUCGGCCAACAUGACUGGAGAGGCAGCAGCAGCUGCAGCAGCAAGGUAGCAGGACACCGAUGGAAGAGACCAACAGAGGAAGGGGUCCCCCGAUGCUGAAGCUGAGCUCAAACAUCUACUAAUGUACUCCCUCCACACACCCAGCUCAGAAGAAGGGACAGUUUUCAAGGUCCUCGUUCCUUCCAGGUUCCACAUAAAUUUAAAAUGUACAUGUUACUUUACCAAGCAAAACAACAGCUGACUGAAAUCAUUUGGACCCUUCAUUUAUUUUCUUUGUAGCCACAGUUUCAUUAAAGAACCGGAUGCCGCCCCACUUC